This 439-nucleotide ribosomal RNA is filed under the name uncultured bacterium. RNAcentral describes it as "partial 16S ribosomal RNA". It matches the Rfam family "Bacterial small subunit ribosomal RNA", at positions 338 to 795 of the family's 1533-position model. The record is from RNAcentral.
CCUACGUGUGGCAGCAGUGGGGAAUAUUGCACAAUGGGGGAAACCCUGAUGCAGCAACGCCGCGUGAGUGAUGACGGCCUUCGGGUUGUAAAGCUCUGUCUUCAGGGACGAUACUGACGGUACCUGAGGAGGAAGCCACGGCUAACUACGUGCCAGCAGCCGGGUAAUACGUAGGUGACGAGCGUGGUCCGGAUUUACUGGGCGUAAGGGGAGCGUAGGCGGACGUUGAAGUGAGAUGUUAAAUACUCGGUCUCAACUUGGGUGCUGCAUUUCAAACUGGAGGGCUAGAGUGCAGGAGAGGAGAAUGGAAUUCCUAGUGUAGCGGUGAAAUGCGUAGAUAUUAGGAAGAACACCAGUGGCGAAGGCGAUUCACUGGACUGUAACUGACGCUGAGGCUCGAAAGCGUGGGGAGCAAACAGGAUUAGAUACCCGUGUAGUC